RNAcentral lists this ribosomal RNA (434 nucleotides) under uncultured bacterium. RNAcentral describes it as "partial 16S ribosomal RNA". It matches the Rfam family "Bacterial small subunit ribosomal RNA", at positions 29 to 507 of the family's 1533-position model. The record is from RNAcentral.
AGCGAACGCUGGCGGCAGGCCUAACACAUGCAAGUCGAACGAACCUUUCGGGGUUAGUGGCGGACGGGUGAGUAACACGUGGGAACGUGCCUUUAGGUUCGGAAUAGCUCAGGGAAACUUGUGCUAAUACCGAAUGUGCCCUUCGGGGGAAAGAUUUAUCGCCUUUAGAGCGGCCCGCGUCUGAUUAGCUAGUUGGUUGAGGUAAUGGCUCACCAAGGCGACGAUCAGUAGCUGGUCUGAGAGGAUGAUCAGCCACAUUGGGACUGAGACACGGCCCAAACUCCUACGGGAGGCAGCAGUGGGGAAUCUUGCGCAAUGGGCGAAAGCCUGACGCAGCCAUGCCGCGUGAAUGAUGAAGGUCUUAGGAUUGUAAAAUUCUUUCACCGGGGACGAUAAUGACGGUACCCGGAGAAGAAGCCCCGGCUAACUUCGUG